Long non-coding RNA from Phyllostomus hastatus (greater spear-nosed bat), 970 nucleotides. RefSeq lists it as uncharacterized. Lineage: Eukaryota; Metazoa; Chordata; Mammalia; Chiroptera; Phyllostomidae. The record is from RefSeq and is a predicted model, not a curated record. The transcript has 3 exons.
GGGGUCUUGGUACCGAGGAGGCGAGGAAUACACGAAACGAGCCAAAUUGGGAAAAGACUAGGAGACACAGCUUUUUUUAGCUCAACCGCCCCCCUCCCAAGUGUCUCUCCCUUUCCUGCACCUGAAUGUCCGUUCAGCGAGAAUUUAUCUUUGCAUCUAACAACACCCACAAGUGAACUUGAUGAAUCGUUUUGAGAAACGUAAUUAAUUGAAAUCUCAUAAAAGCUGCUUUUUCCGUGGCCUUGUGGUAGAGUGGGUUGGGCGUCCUCCAGCAAAGCGAAAGAUCGCGGAAUCAUUCCGGGUCAGGGCAUACGCGUGGAUUCGGGGCUCGUCCCGGAUGGGGCGCAGCCCGGUGGAGGCGGGUGGAUUCUUCUCUUUCACAUAGGAGGUUUCCCUCCCUGUCUUUCUCCCUCCCUUCCCGUCUCUCUAAGAAUAAGGCUUAGAGAAAAUUUUGCAUAAGAACACCAGGACCAAGAAAAGUACAAAAAUAUUCACAGGAGUAAUGACCAUCUGCAAUAUCUCAAAACUGGAAAUAUCUUAAAUGCCCAUUAAGAACAGAUUAGAAAAUAAAUUGUCAUGUUUUCAUGUAUCACAAUACUCAUGCGUCAGUAUGAUGAACCUCAGAGAUUCAUGUUUAAAAAGAGAAUAUGAGAUCAGAGAAAAAGAGAUUUCAAAACGUUUUGAAACAACACUCUAUUUAGUAAUUGCUGGAACCUAGCAAUAUGUUGCUGAAAACCACCCACAUCUCCCCAAAGUUUUAAACACAUGAAUACAAAAUAUAGUGUUUUCGGAGAGUCCUAGGUUGCAGGAAGAAGUCUGAGUUCUAAUCUGUGUUGGCACCAACUUUUAAAUCAAACAAAAACUUAUUAUGAAACCUAAUAUAUCAAAUGGAGCAAAGCAUAUUUGCUUUGAGGAAAGAUGGGACUGGGUCCAGAACUCUAAGGCAACUCUCAAGAAACUCAGGGCUCUG